RNAcentral lists this long non-coding RNA (273 nucleotides) under Vigna radiata. RNAcentral's name for it is "long non-coding RNA (VRAD_LNC017519)". The record is from RNAcentral. Lineage: Eukaryota; Viridiplantae; Streptophyta; Magnoliopsida; Fabales; Fabaceae.
UUUUGUGAAAAUCUUUACCUUGAGUUAAGUUGAGAAUUAUUGUGUGGUAUUGAUAAAGGUUCAAGUUUGGGGUUGUUGGGAAGUUUGAAAAAGAAAAGGUAAGCAUUGAGCUAAUGUGUUGAGCAAAACAUGAAAAGAUGAAAAAGAUAGAAAAAGUAGAAAAGCUCAAUGCAAAAAGGGAAAAGUUGGGAAUGAGUGACAUUGGUUGUUUAAAGAGAGCUUGUGCUUGAAUUACAAAAGUAUGAAUAACUCUCUUAAGUCAAGGAAUUUGUG